Molecule: long non-coding RNA, 823 nt
Organism: Macadamia integrifolia
Lineage: Eukaryota; Viridiplantae; Streptophyta; Magnoliopsida; Proteales; Proteaceae
Exons: 2
Source: RefSeq, a predicted model, not a curated record
CCUAGAUUACCUUUUCAAGACAACGGUCAAUUGGGCCACGAACUCCAUUUCUUCCUCGGACUCAAAAUAAAUUUUACAAAAUUUUGUUAAAAAUUAAUAAAAUUAUGGGAAAAGACUAGGUAUGGUAACCCAUUACCCAAGAAUAAAGUAUGCUGGCGUCUACGGGCUGUCAGAUGGAAGAUAAAAAAUCUCAUCCACAUGAGCCAUUGUCUUACAAGACUUUCCCAAUAUCACCGCUCCACCGUCGUCCUUCCUCUUCUUCUUCUACCUUCCUCUUUCCUCACGGCCUCCGCCUGCCUCCGUUAUAAAAAAAUUGCCCAUCCCCGCUGCCCCUCUCUCUCUCUCUCUCUCUCUCGCCUGGUCGUCUUCUCACAAUACCGCCGCUCCACCGGCUUCCUUCCUCUUCUUCUUCUACCUUUCCCUUCCCUCACGUUCUCUGGCUGCCUCCGUUCUAAAAAUUUGCCGAUCCCCGCUGCCCCUCUCUCUCUCUGGCCUAGUCGUCUUCUCUAUUUCCAACUCUGGCGUCAUCAUCAGAUGGGCCGAUGCAACCCCCUAGGCCCUCUCUCUAGACAACGUAAAAAGAUUUUCUUCCGUUGCACUAUGGAGAGUAGUGUGGAGGUUGCAGAGGUGGGAGCGGCGGGAGGAGAGUGGAAGGAUUUUAGAGCUAUGAAGAAAGGAAUUGAAAUAAUUAAAACUAGAGGACAAGGGUGGGAGGAGAUCCAAUGUAGAGCAGGGAGAGGGAGAGGGAGAGGGAGAGGGGUGGGAAGACUGAAGCGCCUCAGAGAUCAGCUGCAAAGGUAGCGGGAUGAGGGGAGAGAGAAAG